CCUGUGCAGCCUUGUGAAGCUGCCCCUGGCCAAGCCUGUUGCCUGUGGGUACAACAAGGUUGCAGAAAGCAACUCAAAGAAUGAAAAGGCGUGGCUUCUGGAGGCUCAGGAGCUUCACGUGCGAUGUUCCUUGCACAGGCCCCUGCUUUCCACGGUGGUGAUGACCUCACUCAGUAGCCGUCACCUUUCUUGAGGCAGGUAGAGUAAACCCUGGCAGCCGGAUAUUGUCUGAAACAGGGGAAGCUCUGCCUGUCAGACACUGUCAGCUGUCACAAUA
Molecule: non-coding RNA, 277 nt
Organism: Amphilophus citrinellus (Midas cichlid)
Lineage: Eukaryota; Metazoa; Chordata; Actinopteri; Cichliformes; Cichlidae
Source: Ensembl